This 500-nucleotide ribosomal RNA is filed under the name uncultured bacterium. RNAcentral describes it as "partial 16S ribosomal RNA". It matches the Rfam family "Bacterial small subunit ribosomal RNA", at positions 29 to 523 of the family's 1533-position model. The record is from RNAcentral.
AUUGAACGCUGGCGGCAUGCCUUACACAUGCAAGUCGAACGGCAGCACGGGAGCAAUCCUGGUGGCGAGUGGCGAACGGGUGAGUAAUAUAUCGGAACGUGCCCAGUAGUGGGGGAUAGCCCGGCGAAAGCCGGAUUAAUACCGCAUACGACCUGAGGGUGAAAGCGGGGGAUCGCAAGACCUCGCGCUAUUGGAGCGGCCGAUAUCAGAUUAGCUUGUUGGUGGGGUAAAAGCCUACCAAGGCGACGAUCUGUAGCUGGGCUGAGAGGACGACCAGCCACACUGGGACUGAGACACGGCCCAGACUCCUACGGGAGGCAGCAGUGGGGAAUUUUGGACAAUGGGCGCAAGCCUGAUCCAGCCAUGCCGCGUGCGGGAAGAAGGCCUUCGGGUUGUAAACCGCUUUUGUCAGGGAAGAAACGGCUCUUGAUAAUACCGAGAGCUAAUGACGGUACCUGAAGAAUAAGCACCGGCUAACUACGUGCCAGCAGCCGCCGUAA